This 50-nucleotide non-coding RNA is filed under the name Trichobilharzia regenti. Lineage: Eukaryota; Metazoa; Platyhelminthes; Trematoda; Strigeidida; Schistosomatidae. The record is from RNAcentral.
GUACUGCUGAAGAGUCCCAAAAUAGGACGAAACGGCUGGCUUUCCAGUAC